AGUGAACGCUGGCGGUAGGCCUAACACAUGCAAGUCGAACGGCAGCACAGUAAGAGCUUGCUCUUACGGGUGGCGAGUGGCGGACGGGUGAGGAAUACAUCGGAAUCUACUUUUUCGUGGGGGAUAACGUAGGGAAACUUACGCUAAUACCGCAUACGACCUACGGGUGAAAGCAGGGGAUCCUCGGACCUUGCGCGAUUGAAUGAGCCGAUGUCGGAUUAGCUAGUUGGCGGGGUAAAGGCCCACCAAGGCGACGAUCCGUAGCUGGUCUGAGAGGAUGAUCAGCCACACUGGAACUGAGACACGGUCCAGACUCCUACGGGAGGCAGCAGUGGGGAAUAUUGGACAAUGGGCGCAAGCCUGAUCCAGCCAUACCGCGUGGGUGAAGAAGGCCUUCGGGUUGUAAAGCCCUUUUGUUGGGAAAGAAAAGCAGCAGGUUAAUACCCAGCUGUUCUGACGGUACCCAAAGAAUAAGCACCGGCUAACUUCGUG
RNAcentral lists this ribosomal RNA (492 nucleotides) under uncultured bacterium. RNAcentral describes it as "partial 16S ribosomal RNA". It matches the Rfam family "Bacterial small subunit ribosomal RNA", at positions 29 to 507 of the family's 1533-position model. The record is from RNAcentral.